CGGGCUGGCCACCAAAGCAAAUCUCUUCCUCGCAGGAGUUCGGGGUGCUUUCCUUGUCGGGGGUGCUAAUUUGCUUCUGCAGCUGCCCUCCUAUUUAUUUUUCCACACGUGGCUUCCGUUCUGCGUGGCUGCCGCUUGCCCCACCCCACCCAUCCCUUGGAGCCACCAGAGCCUGGGCCUCGCUUGGGGGGAUUGGAACUCUCUGCCUGGGACGGGCCUGGGUGCGCUUCUGGCCUGGCCAGCAGGUGGAGCACAAGCCCCAGGUUUCAGUUCCUGUGGGCUUUGUAGAAGUCCUUUAGAAUAAACUGGAAACGAGUGCGCGCCUCCCCAGGCCCGGACUGAGUGUAGGACACCAGGGAGGCAAAGACGAACAAAUCCCACAAGGGCAGAUGUGGGGACAGGUCACUGAAAUGGGCCGGGAGCCUGAGAAUCAGCCCACCCGGGGUGGGGCGGGGUGGGGGGUGCCUCUGGGGCCUGGAGGGCUCUCUGCGGGGAGCCAGCUGAGCCCGCCCACUUUGGGCCUGGCCUCUUGUCUAUCCUAAGGCUGCCUGGGCUCUGCUCUUGUGGGGUUUAUCCAGUUUAUCAAGAAAAUGACCGUCUUAAGUGGAGUGGACCCAGAUCUUCAUCGCUGGGAAGUGUCCCUUAUCUAACCGUCCCUGGCAGGGGACGCCCUCUGUCUUAACAUCACACCUUGUGAGCCACCGCCUCUCAGAAGGCGGGUCCCUCGCACAGAAGGAGAGUCCAGGCCGAGUUACCUCUCCCCAGACCUGAAGCAGGAGGGUUCGCAUUUCUGACAAGUUCCCCGGCAACGUUGAUGCUGCUGGUCCCGGGGACCACACCCGGAGAACCCCCCGCCUACAUGAGUUGCAGCUUGAAAGCUUGUGCCGGGUCUUGAUCCCACUCAUGAGCUACCUGUCUGCUGUACCUGGGCCAGUGCUUUAGGAAUGUCACGUUUGCGGACUCUCGCUCCACGCAGAUGAUCUUUGGAAAUCCAAACCUGGCUCAUUUUCGGGGGCGAUUGCUUCUGUGCUGGUGUGCGGGGAUGGGCUGCAGGCUGUCCGCGUCUCGUCCCCACGGGCAAGCCCCGUCGUCUCCCUUAAGUACUUUUCCUCCACAGUGCUGGAGCCGGGCGAACAGGUACAUUCAUUGCGCUCAGCAACAUUCUGGAACGAGUGAAAGCCGAGGGCCUUUUAGACGUAUUCCAAGCUGUGAAGAGUUUACGACUUCAGAGACCGCAUAUGGUGCAAACCCUGGAACAGUAUGAAUUCUGCUACAAAGUGGUACAAGAUUUUAUUGAUAUAUUUUCUGAUUAUGCUAAUUUCAAAUGAAAUUCCUGCCUUAAAAUAUUUUUUUUAAUUUAAUGGUCAGUAUAUUUUAUAAAAAUCAUGUUAAUUUAUUUCAUAGUUGACAUUAAUACCCGUCCUAAUUUCUUUGUAUAUAUUUUGUUACGCUUUCAAGGCCACUGCUAUAAAGUUAUUAAAUCUUAAAUACCCCUUUUAAAAACGGGAAUAAUGUAUUAAGGUCAAGUAAUAUCCCGUAAAAUGCAUUUCUGCUAAUAUCGGUAAAUAUUCUAAUUUUGCAUUAGAUUCAUCAUAUCCUAUAAUUUCACACAUUCAGCACGUCUAAAUGUUAAAAAUCUUAAUAUGCAAUGUGUGCUUGACGCAGGAGAGUAAACACAGAGCCCGCUGUUAAGAAAGCGGUCGAGGACUCAAAAAUCAGUUGAAAAUUCCCUGUCCAGACGCUGAUUUUUACAGCCCUGCGCAGUGGCAUUUUGCGGGAGGUAAAAUGUUCAUGGAGAUACACUGUAAGUAGGGGAUCCUGUGAAGUCCUCCGUCUCAACUCAUGUGGUUUACUUUUUACAUUUUAAAGAUCAAGGGCGUCACAGCCCGCGUGCAGGUAUAAAAUGCAUGAGCGCAGUUGGUGACCAUAUAGUGAUACACGUGCGUUUACUCACGGCUGGGUCCGUGCUGUCUGGGCCGGAAGUGGAGAGAUGUCGGUGCUGGUGGCACGGUCACCCGUGGCCUUGGGUACGGCAAAAUCAGCUAUCAGGCUGCGUUCCCACGUGGCCACUUGCUGUCCGUCUGUCUGAGUGUUUGGCUCAGAGGAGUCUCUGAGAAUCAAACCAACUGCGUUUCUCACUCUUGCCUCUGGUCUCGAGCUACCCAGAGGCUCAACACAAACCACUUCCUAAUCCUAAUGUGCGGAGGGAGCCAAACGUCUGACUCACGCAGAUGCCAAGAGCACACGCUUGGGGAGACCACCACAAGCACUGAUGCUUUCAACUUUCUGAGAAUAUUUUGGCUUGUUGUUUUUUUUUUUUUUAAAUCUUGUACAAGCUAAGAUUGUUUGUAAGAAAAGAAAUCUUAAAAUCUAGAUUUAUACCGUUUUUUUUAAAGUCCCCCUCCUCAAUAUUUAAAUAAAAGACACAGAGAGAGAAAUCCUUAAUCUAAAGGCUAACUUAUUUUUGAAUGGAAAUACUACUGAGACCUUUGACACUGGAUAAUAAUAAUCUCACUGCCAGACUGGACUGGCUUAUGGGGCGACAAAAGGGAGGAGGUUGAAUGUAGAAAAGUUUAAUUUAAUGACGGUGAUCUUUCUGUGGCCAUUAGGUAGCAGAUGAGCAUAUGAGCACAAUAUAUAUAUAUAUAUAUAUAUAUAUAAAUAUAAAAAAAUAAAGACACCUGCUCUAACAUACUAAAGGCACUUAAGAUGUGCAUUUGGGGUACAGUGGUUUUUUUUGCUUUUAAAAAGAAAUAUAAAGGCCUUAUUUGACAUUUCCACCGAGAAGUGACUGCACCUUCCUAUUGCACUGUUCAUCCCGUGUCUGUUUCUGGUGUGCAUAAUGUGACCCCAGGGUUUCUUGCAUACUAACGAUAGCCUCACGGUGAUCAAGUCUCCGUGGCUCCUCUGAGCUCCACUCCAUGGCAGAAGGGGUGCCAGCCGGAAGGGCGAGAGCACAACUUUGUGACCGAUGCCGCCGCCGCCAGCCGCAUCCCUCCCUGGGCACACACAGUGCUGAAUACAUCCCUCCGUCCUUCCCGGGACCAUGAGGAUACGUUCGGGUCGAAGAGGAAAAUGGAGGCAGCUCUGCAAGACGCACCAGCUGGUCCCAUAUGUUUUCAUUGUCAGAAUCCCCCCCCCCCCCCCGCCAAAGCCUUUCUGUGACUGAAGGAGAAGAGAGAGAACCAAGCUUUUCAUUUGGCACCGAACCCUAGAAACCGAGCUGGCUACAUGGUGAUGAAAGUGAUUUGUAAUGUACCCGAGGGUUCAGGGUCAAAGUCAAGGGAAUGGACUUGGGUCUAAUUCAGGAGCCCUCAUGAGAAGCUGUCGGGCCCUCAGUGGUCUACCUGGCAUCUCUUGUGUGGCGAUUCAGGUCGAACUUACCAGGGGUGCCCUCGGGAAAGUGCCCCGUUUGUGCGUUGUUCUGUCUCCCUGUGUCCGCUACAGGCAUCCUGGCACCCGCUUUGGUCCUUCCGCCUCUGGAAACAAGGCAGAAGCCGCGACCCCUUGGGCACAGGACCCCUGUCCCCAGUCGAGGGCAGUACUUGCCUUUCUAGGGGCCUGGGAAUUGCAGCCUCCUGGCCUCUGCCCAGGCCCCCCCCCCCCCCCCCCCCCGUCCAAACAAUCCCUUUGGGGACGCGCUACCCUCUCUGUGCAACCGGGAAAGCUGACCUCUCCUUCCCCCUCUGUCAAAGAAGGUCCAUGGACACGACAGCGCCCCGCUGACGGGGCUGACGAGGCCAUUCUUACCUUCACGUUUUUGUGUGUCGCAUGAGGCUGCAUCCAAAUGCCAAAUAGCGAUUAGGAGCCUACCGUUCUGAUCGACAAGCUGUACGGUCACUGUGUGACUCACUCUACUGUUUCUCUCCAUGUGCUAGACGAAUGAAGAAUGCAUACCAGUGUUUUGAAAGGUAUUUUUAUGUGUUUUUAAAAACUUUUUUAAAUGAGCCUGACACGUCUGUUUCAGCAUUCAAAGACAUGCCCAUGUGAUUUUUAAGAUGUAUGGUUCCUGAUACUUUUGUUUAACUAAAUCGUGUUUAAUUUAUGUGCAAUCUUUAUAAUAUACAUCUGUAGUCCCCGUUUCAACUAUCAUAGUUUCUUUUAUUACAUCUGUAAUUUGAUCUUGCUCUGAUUAUAAUGCCAGUGAAUGUUGCUGAAUUCUUUGUAUAUGCAAAUUGCAAGAUCUAAAACAGUCUGAUGCAAGGAUAAAUCUUUACUUUGACUUCCA
Long non-coding RNA from Panthera uncia (snow leopard), 4228 nucleotides. RefSeq lists it as uncharacterized. The transcript is spliced from 2 exons. NCBI's taxonomy places the organism in Eukaryota, Metazoa, Chordata, Mammalia, Carnivora, Felidae. The record is from RefSeq and is a predicted model, not a curated record.